UUACACCCAUGCAAGGGAACGUGAGGCGGGUUUAAACCGUCGUGAGACAAAUUAGUUUUACCCUACUAAAGACAAAACGUUGUUGCACAAGCAUUCCUGCGUAGUACGAGAGGAACCGCAGGUACGGACCAAUGGCACAAUACUGUUUCGAGCGAACAGUAGUAUGACGCUACGUCCGUUGGAUUAUGCCUGAACGCCUCUAAGGUCGUAUCCGUGCUGGACUGCAAUGAUAAAUAAGGGGCAAUUUGCAUUGUAUGGCUUCUAAACCAUUAAAAGUUUUUAAUUUGUUUUAUUAACGACAAUGGAUGUGAUGCCAAAUGUUAUUUAUAACAUAGUAAAUUGGGAGGAUCUUCGAUCACCUGAUGCCGCGUUAGUUAUAUUUUAAAACAUUAUUUAAUACAAUGUCAAAGCCUAGAAUCAAUUGUAAACGACUUUUGUAACAGGCAAGGUGUCGUAAGUGGUUGAGCAGCUGCCAUACUGCGAUCCACUGAAGCUUAUCCUUUGCUCGAUGAUUCGA
This 517-nucleotide non-coding RNA is filed under the name Drosophila virilis. RNAcentral describes it as "Eukaryotic large subunit ribosomal RNA". It matches the Rfam family "Eukaryotic large subunit ribosomal RNA", at positions 2931 to 3401 of the family's 3401-position model. The record is from Rfam by way of RNAcentral. Lineage: Eukaryota; Metazoa; Arthropoda; Insecta; Diptera; Drosophilidae.